Non-coding RNA from Paralichthys olivaceus (Japanese flounder), 466 nucleotides. The record is from RefSeq and is a predicted model, not a curated record. NCBI's taxonomy places the organism in Eukaryota, Metazoa, Chordata, Actinopteri, Pleuronectiformes, Paralichthyidae.
AGGAAAUAGAUGACACUUCCUUGUGUCUGUUGGUUUGUCAGCCAUGCAGCAUCACUGAGGAUCUCUUUCAAUCCUGGUUCCUGAAGUUCAGGAGAGAAAACGUCUAUUGUGAACAAAGAUGGACGAUGCCGCUCCACGUCCUCUCCAGACCUUCCAACCGGCAUCGCCGACAGAGUAUCGAGGUCGUGCCAACACGUUCUCGACCAAUCACGAGCUGUUCAUGGCCGUCAUCCAGAUGCAGCUGAACCUGGGGACCAGGCUGAGGCUCGUCCUGCAGCCAGUCACAGGCUGCCAAGGCUCAUGUCGGCUGGACGGAGGCCAGUUUAACCCCCCUGCCUCCAACUCAAUGCUCCGGGCGUCGUCACGCAGCAAAUGUUGAUCUGCUUGUGUUCACUCUCUUGUUCUUUUGUUGAGCACAAAGCAGACGGAGAAGUUAAACACAAAUAACGGUUCAGAAUAAAAUAAA